Molecule: ribosomal RNA, 1207 nt
Filed under: metagenome
Description: bacterial SSU rRNA
Rfam family: Bacterial small subunit ribosomal RNA
Source: RNAcentral
CGAUGGGUAGGGGUCCUGAGAGGGAGAUCCCCCACACUGGUACUGAGACACGGACCAGACUCCUACGGGAGGCAGCAGUGAGGAAUAUUGGACAAUGGGCGCAAGCCUGAUCCAGCCAUGCCGCGUGCAGGAUGACGGUCCUAUGGAUUGUAAACUGCUUUUAUACGAGAAGAAACACUCCUACGUGUAGGAGCUUGACGGUAUCGUAAGAAUAAGGAUCGGCUAACUCCGUGCCAGCAGCCGCGGUAAUACGGAGGAUCCAAGCGUUAUCCGGAAUCAUUGGGUUUAAAGGGUCCGUAGGCGGUUUAAUAAGUCAGUGGUGAAAGCCCAUCGCUCAACGGUGGAACGGCCAUUGAUACUGUUAAACUUGAAUUAUUAGGAAGUAACUAGAAUAUGUAGUGUAGCGGUGAAAUGCUUAGAGAUUACAUGGAAUACCAAUUGCGAAGGCAGGUUACUACUAAUUGAUUGACGCUGAUGGACGAAAGCGUGGGUAGCGAACAGGAUUAGAUACCCUGGUAGUCCACGCCGUAAACGAUGGAUACUAGCUGUUGGGAGCAAUCUCAGUGGCUAAGCGAAAGUGAUAAGUAUCCCACCUGGGGAGUACGUUCGCAAGAAUGAAACUCAAAGGAAUUGACGGGGGCCCGCACAAGCGGUGGAGCAUGUGGUUUAAUUCGAUGAUACGCGAGGAACCUUACCAAGGCUUAAAUGUAGAUUGACCGAUUUGGAAACAGAUCUUUCGCAAGACAAUUUACAAGGUGCUGCAUGGUUGUCGUCAGCUCGUGCCGUGAGGUGUCAGGUUAAGUCCUAUAACGAGCGCAACCCCUGUUGUUAGUUGCCAGCGAGUCGUGUCGGGAACUCUAACAAGACUGCCAGUGCAAACUGUGAGGAAGGUGGGGAUGACGUCAAAUCAUCACGGCCCUUACGCCUUGGGCUACACACGUGCUACAAUGGCCGGUACAGAGAGCAGCCACUGGGCGACCAGGAGCGAAUCUAUAAAACCGGUCACAGUUCGGAUCGGAGUCUGCGACUCGACUCCGUGAAGCUGGAAUCGCUAGUAAUCGGAUAUCAGCCAUGAUCCGGUGAAUACGUUCCCGGGCCUUGUACACACCGCCCGUCAAGCCAUGGAAGCUGGGGGUGCCUGAAGUCGGUGACCGCAAGGAGCUGCCUAGGGUAAGACUGGUAACUAGGGCUAAGUCGGAACAAGGUA